RNAcentral lists this ribosomal RNA (495 nucleotides) under uncultured bacterium. RNAcentral's name for it is "partial 16S ribosomal RNA". It matches the Rfam family "Bacterial small subunit ribosomal RNA", at positions 28 to 507 of the family's 1533-position model. The record is from RNAcentral.
GACGAACGCUGGCGGCGUGCCUAAUACAUGCAAGUAGAACGCUGAAGGCGUAGCUUGCUCUUCUGGAUGAGUUGCGAACGGGUGAGUAACGCGUAGGUAACCUGCCUGUUACCUUGGGAUAACUUUUGGAAACUAUAGCUAAUACCGCAUAACAGUAGCUGUUGCAUGACAUUUACUUAAAAGUUUCAAUUGCUUCACUACCAGAUGGACCUUCGUUGUAUUAGCUUGUUGGUGGGGUAAAGGCUCACCAAGGCGGCGAUCCAUAGCCGAAAGGAGAGGGGGAUCGGCCACACUGGGAGGGAGACAGGGCCCAGAGUCAUACAGGAGGCAGCAGUAGGGAAUCGGCGGCAAGGGACGGAAGAUAGACCGAGAAACGCCGAGUGAGUGAAGAAGGUUGUCGGAUGGUAAAGGACGGUUGUAAGAGAAGAAAGAGUGUGAGAGUGGAAAGUUCAGAGUGUGACGGUAUCGUACAAGAAAGGGACGGCUAACUACGUG